CGGUAAUUCCAGCUCCAAUAGCGUAUAUUAAAAUUGGUGCGGUUAAAACGCUCGUAGUUGGAUAUCUGCUAAGGGGUUCCGGUCCUUCCCAGUGAAGAAUACGCGCAACUCUUCUUGGCAUUUAUUCAAGGAAGGUGUUUGCACUUUGUUGUGUGUCACAUGAUCUGAAUUUUUACUUUGAGGAAAUGAGAGUGUUUCAAGCACGCUUUCGACCGUGAAUAUGCAUAUGCAUGGAAAUAAUAGCACAGGAACCCUUUCCAAAGCUGUUGGUUUUUGGAACGAGGUAAUCAAAAUAAGGAUAGUUGGGGGUAUUCGUAUUUAACUGUCAAAAGUGAAAUUCUUGGAUUUUUUAAAGACAAAGUAUUGCAAAUGCAUCUGCCCAGGAUGUUUUUAUUGAUCAAGAACGAAAGUUAGGGGAUCGAAGACGAUCAGAUACCGUCCUAGUCUUAACCUUAAACUAUGCCGGCUGGAGAUCGGAGUUGUCAGAAUUGUGACAUCUUCAGCAUCCUGAGAGAAAUCGAAGUCUUUGGGUUCCGGGGGGAGUAUGGUCGCAAGGCUGAAACUUAAAGGAAUUGACGGAAGGGCACCACCAGGAGUGGAGCCUGCGGCUUAAUUUGACUCAACACGGGGAAACUCACCAGGUCCAGACAUAGAUAGGAUUGACAGACUGAUAGCUCUUUCUUAAUUCUAUGGGUGGUGGUGCAUGUCCGUUAUUAGUUGGUGGAGUGAUUUGUUUGGUUAAUUCCGUUAACGAACGAGACCUUAACUUGCUAAAUAGUUUCCAGAACUUCGGUUCUCGGGUUACUUCUUAGAGGGAUUUUGUGUGUUUAACACAAGGAAGUUUGAGGCAAUAACAGGUCUGUGAUGCCCUUAGAUGUCCUGGGCUGCACGCGCGCUACACUGAUGUGUUCAAUAAGCACCUAACCUACUCCGAAGGGACUGGGUAACCUCUGCAAAGCACAUCGUGAUGGGGAUAGAUUAUUGCAAUUAUUAGUCUUGAACGAGGAAUUCCUAGUAAGCGCAAGUCAUCAGCUUGUGUUGAUUACGUCCCUGCCCUUAGUCCACACCGCUCCGUCGCUCGCUACCGAUUGAGUGAUCCGGUGAAUACUUCGGAGUGCAGACUGUACAGUUUAUGUUUAGUUUGCGCAAAGUUGAAUAAACCUUAUCAAUUAGAGGAAGGAGAAGUCGUAACAAGGUAGCCG
RNAcentral lists this ribosomal RNA (1202 nucleotides) under uncultured dinoflagellate. Its description in RNAcentral is "SSU rRNA". It matches the Rfam family "Eukaryotic small subunit ribosomal RNA", at positions 577 to 1805 of the family's 1831-position model. Lineage: Eukaryota; Dinophyceae. The record is from RNAcentral.